AAAUUUAUGACAGUACAGCAAAAUAGAAGCGGGAUUUUUUUCUCGUUUAUUUUACAGUAAAAUUUUAUAUAAUGGUAUAAGUUUAUAAGUUUGUUCCAUUAGUUGACCAUAAUCUGAAUAACCACCUAGGUCAAAGAACUAGUUGAAAUUUUUGGGGGAAAAUUUAGACACAUCGCCAAAAAAUUCCUAAAGAUACAUUUUUUGUACUUUUUAGGAGUAUUAACUGUUAAGAUAUACAUUACUUUUGUUCAGAUUAAGCUAACCUGAACAACUACAAAGUUCCCGGCAUCAUUCUCACACAUGAUGUUAUUCAUGUUCUUACUGUGCUCACACGAUAUAAACCAACGGCCUUCAAAAUACGUGAAGAUUUUUGAAAAGAAGUAUUAUUUAUAUAUUAUUAAUAUCUAUUUAACCCAGGUCGUGGCUGUAGUAGCUGGUGAGAACGAUAUCACUUGGUUGUGCAGUGUCAAACAAAUCAUCACCGACUUCCAACUAUUGUGUGAAAAGAUCCACUCUGUCAAUCCACGGUAAUUAUUUGAAAAAUGAAGUGAAAUAAGCGCAAAGGUGAUAGUUUGUAGUGUGUUACCACGUUGUAUAGGACAGACUUGAUUGCCAGUGGUUUUGUUCAACACUUCAAUAGCAUAGCCUCAGCAGUGAACUCUUCUCUGAGACAGAUAGCGUCUGUUGUCACAUGGCUACAUUUUCUACAGUUUCCAGGAUUUACUAGUCUCGCAGGCGUCAAUAGAGAACUACUUAUCCUCGACGGCCGUCAUAUGAUCUACAAAGGUGCAGAAUUUGUCGGCAGAUACAUAGAGGACACAAUAUUGAAGUGUCAACAUGCUGAAACUGAAGCAGGUGUGAUUUCUCCAAACGAACCAGUAGUGAUUCCAACACAUUCAUCACAGACUUCCGCUGUAAUUGUAUCAGUACCAGAGAAAACAUCGGCUCAAUUUGAAACAUUUGUUCCCAGGUAAUCUUCAGUACAAUGCAAGAACGACAGUGUCAAAACUUCUAGUACUGAAUCAUCCACCUCUCCAGUGCAAGUACGUCCUCGUACUAAAUGUGAUGUUUGGGUAAUCGAACUCCCAGACAAAUUUGUCUUAUCGUGUGAUGUGGAAGUAAAACAUCCAACUUUGGUUGGAGGUGGCUAUGAAAAUAAAGUGUAUAUGCAAGAGAACAAUAUUCUUGACUGGAAAACGGCAAAAGCCAUUCUUGACGAUCCUGACAUUGAGAUGGUCACUCCUAAUCCACCAUACAAACCAAAGGCCGGUGAAGUGUAUGUUUAUUCAUCAAAUGGUGACUCAAAUAACAAGAGAACCAUGAUGGUCCUGAAUCGCUCACCUAUCCCCACAUGACCCAGUGUUGAACUGAGUAUGACUUUGUUAUUUCUGUUAUUUGACAUAGUGACCUAGUUUUUGAGCACUUGACCUAAAUAUCAUCAAGAUAAAAAAUUCUGACCAAUUUUCAUGAAGAUCCAUUGAAAAAUAUGACCUCUAGAGAGGUCACAAGGUUUUUCUAUUAUUUGACCUAAUGACCUAGUUUUUGAAGGCACGUGACCCACUUUUAAACUUGACCUAGAUAUCAUCAAGGUGAACA
This is a long non-coding RNA of Mercenaria mercenaria, 1596 nucleotides long. RefSeq lists it as uncharacterized. NCBI's taxonomy places the organism in Eukaryota, Metazoa, Mollusca, Bivalvia, Venerida, Veneridae. The transcript is spliced from 3 exons. The record is from RefSeq and is a predicted model, not a curated record.